This is an RNA transcript of Fragaria vesca subsp. vesca, 449 nucleotides long. RefSeq lists it as uncharacterized. Lineage: Eukaryota; Viridiplantae; Streptophyta; Magnoliopsida; Rosales; Rosaceae. The record is from RefSeq and is a predicted model, not a curated record. The transcript is spliced from 2 exons.
UUCGCUUUCAAGUUUUAGCUAGUGCAGAAAUGGUGAUGAUGGGGUUGGAUAGGUUGCUGGGGAAUUUGAAGUCCAAGUUCAGGUCCUUGAAGAUGAAGAAACCUGCAGCUGAGGAUUAUAACAAGAUCGAAAAGAGCGAUAGCAUGAGAGUCGAAAUAAGGAGCAAGAAGGCCAGAAAGCUCAUUGAGAAGACUCUCAAAGUUGCAGACUCUCCCAAGACGAAAACGUUCGCUUUUUGAUACUUCGUAUACAGAUCAAAACCAGACUAUAUAUAGCUAGCUAGCUUUUAGCUAAUGCCUUCUCCUGUUUUGGAUGAUUAACAGGAUGGUCUAUUUUUGUUUAUCUCCCUCUUGAAUCUUGAUCCUUUCUUAUCUUUCUCUAUUCACUCAUAGCCAUACAUACACAUGUAAUUGUCAUUAUCAUGAAUGCAAGGUGUGAAUUUUCCCAUG